GCAAGUUUCAGGACACACAGAGACCCUAUUUUGAAAAAAGAAACAAAAAGUAAAAUAACAAAAUUCUAGGUAAAUAAAUGUAGCUGGAAAAAAAUCUUCCUCAGUGAGGUAACGCAGAGCCCAAAAGAUAAAUAUGGUAUAUAUUCACUUAUAUGUGGAUGUUAGCUAUUAAGUCUUGGAUAAGCAGGCUACAAUCAUAUAACCAUAGAAGUUAGAGUAAGGGACACUGGGGAGGAUUGGAUUACCCUAGGAAGGAGCAAACAAUAGAAUAGUUAUGGAUGGCUGUAGGGGGACUGGAGUGGGAGGACCAAACAGGAAGGAAAAGAGAAGGGGGAACGAGGGAGGAAAUUGAGGACAGCUAAAAUGAAGGGCCAUAUGAGGGGUUGUAUGUUAACAAUACAGUAGAGCUUCCUAAGAUAUGUACAUAUAUGAAGGUGAUAUAAAUGAAAUUGCCAAAGUUGGGGAAGACAGAGCCCCAAUUGGACAUCUUUUGUUGCCAAAUAAACACUCUCCUUCUAGGAUUAGGUUACAUCUAAUCCAGUUGGUGGCUAAAGGGGUUCCCGGGGAGCCCUCAAACAACCCAGCUUAUUGCCAAGGCUAUUGGUUGCUUCCACAAACUGAAUGUAAGACCCUAUUGCUGAAGACACCUACAAAACUCACUGAACAUGGAGAAGUUGAGCUGGCACCUACCUAGAGUCUUCAUCCUUACUUUUUUUAAGGUACUGGAAGGUACUCUGCAUGCUACCAAAGGAGAAAGAUAAGUGCCUUGCUCCCAGCCAUCAUCAGAGGAGCUUCCUCCUGCAGCAGAUGGGAACAAAUACAGAGACCCACAGCUGGACACUGAUGGGGGAUGUCCUUCUUGGCUGAAGGCUGUUACAGUAAUCUCCAACUGGUCAAAACACAGAGAAGUGACUGUGAGGUACCCAACUCCAUUUGGUACAUCUACAUACAACACAAACUAUAUACCUAAAGCUCAGAGAACACUGCAGAAGAGCGUGGCAAAAACGUUUUAAAAUCCAGAGAACCAGGAUGCCUGCUGUAAGAUUGUGUUUUUAAGAUGGUCCAUGAUCCUGAUGUAGCCAACAUCCUGGCGUCUCCAAGGCGACUUAGGCUUCACUUUACAGCUUCAUGCAGUGGCCUCUUAGGGUCUCUCUGCAAGGGACUCCAGGACUGAUAAACACUGCCCAGCCUUAGUGGAUCUCUGGAAUCACCGAACAAACCUCUGUGACCCCUCAAUUUUGUGUCUUUCAUGCCUGCCAAGCCAGUACCACACAGACGUUGCUGCCAAGUUCUACUGUAUCUUGGUUUAAAACCUGGCGCUCUCUGGUCUACAGCAACGUGGACCUUUGUGUACUGAUUCCUGGAGAAACAUUUGGUUUGUUUUUCUAGAGAACUCCUUCAGUGGCAUUCUGAAUUAUGCUUUCUCCUUUGAAGUGAACUUGCAUUUUUUCAAAAUGGAACCUUCCAUGGGUGUGGUCUUGCCCUCGGUAUCUUUCCUAUUGUUUCUCAUGCAUCAGAUUUCUCUUUUUUGAAGUUUUCUUUUUAAUAAUUAUGGCAGUACCUAUCUUGUCUUCAAUUUUACACUUGUUCAUCAUUUCUUCCUCCCCAAACAGCAACAUUAAAAACAAUAAAAACAAAAACCAUCUUUCUGUCCGUUUUUAUUGUAGACCUGGAUAAAAGCAGUGAGCAGUAGCCAUUCCACAGUAUGAACGCUAGCCUGCUUUAAAAUUUCCUUUGCUGAACACAUUGGUCCAUUACUUUUAAAUUCAGUCUCCCUCACAUUCUCAGACAGGGUCAGAAUACAGUGAGAUUCUUUGUCACCGGUAGACUUAACUUAGCGCCCAAUAGAGUCUUUGUUCCUCCUUGAACCUUAGGAGCUUGGCCAUGUCUACUGUUUGUGCUUCUGACAUACUAAUCCUUUAAUCCCUACCAGAAUGACUUGUUAAGUACUGCUUAGGUUGCACUCUAGGACUUUCCCUCAAAGUUUCAAACUCUUCCACAUUUCUCUUGCCAAACAACUACAAAGGCUGAACAACCACAGGGCAAUAAGUUGUUCACAGCAAUGACCCCAACUUCUCAGUAGAAUUUUGUUUCAGUUACUUUUUAUAGUGUUGUGACAAAAAUACCCAACAACAGAAACUUAGGGCAGGAAAAGUGUAUGGGGGUGGGGUCAUAGUGGCAGGCAACUUAGGCAGCUGGUCACCUGUGUCCACAGUCAGGAAGCAGAGAGACAUGAAUGCUGCUGUUGAGCUAGCUUUCUCCUUUCCAUUCAGUCUAGGACCUCAGCCCAUGGAAUGAUGUUACUCAUAUUUAGGGUAAACCUUCUCACUUCAAUUAACCAACAUAACCCCUCACAGACAUGCCCAGCGUCUGGUCUAUUCAGUGAUUAUAGAUCCUGUCAAGCUGACCACCAGUAUUGACCAUCACAAAUACUAAAUGACAAUUACUUCUAUUAGGUAUACAUUUUAAUCAAAAUGUGGUUAAGACAUUAACUUCCUUAAGAAAAUUGUCAAGUAUUGUCAAAUAAUGAAACUGUACCUUCUGUUUAUUAUUAAAGACAUUAUCAUAUGAGUAAAUGACCAAUAAACAGGUGGGGAAAUUGAAGAUUACAUGUUUUAAAAAUAUGUAAAUAUGUAAUCACUCACUAGUGAAUGAUGCCUUACAUGAAAUGUCUAACUAUACAACCUAUUACUAUGCAUUUUA
Molecule: non-coding RNA, 2703 nt
Organism: Cricetulus griseus (Chinese hamster)
Lineage: Eukaryota; Metazoa; Chordata; Mammalia; Rodentia; Cricetidae
Source: RefSeq, a predicted model, not a curated record